Cinara cedri is the source of this 971-nucleotide non-coding RNA. The record is from the annotation of a GenBank genome assembly. Lineage: Eukaryota; Metazoa; Arthropoda; Insecta; Hemiptera; Aphididae.
UUAAAACGAACUUUUGUGUCACAUUUUGGAUUUUGGUAGUGGGUAAGAUAGUCGUGUUUAGGUUUUCUUAAUAAUUGGUCAAAACCAGGAAAAGUCGUAGAAAGAACUGGAAAGUUCACAGAAAUAAUGGUUUCAUUAUUUUCAGUUUUAUUUUUUUGUUUUAAUUCUGAUUAAAAUAAAUUGCCAAGACCGGAAAUAUUCACAGUAUACUCAUAAUGGAAAGAUAGACAUGGGAAAAUGUUCAGAAAAUGUUUGAGUUUUAGAGCUGUUUAUAUGCAUUUCACGUUUUUGAGUUUUUUUAAGUUUUUACAAGAUGGGUACUAUACUACUAUAUGGGUAUAAAAUUGUUUGACCAAACAGAAAUGCCUGAACAUUUUACAUACACGAUGUUUAUUAAAAGUUAUAUUUAGUAGUAAAAACAAAAAAAUGUAGAGCGUAAUUCAGUAGUUUUUUUAUAAGAUAACAUUUUUACAAAAAAUAUGACUUUCAAACAUGUAUAGUUCAGUUACUUAAUCUCGAUUAAACUCGUAUUUCGUUAGCAAUAUUGUUUAUCGUUGCCUACAGAUAUAAAUUGAAUAACAUUACGUUUCCUAUCUUCCUAAUUUUCAAUCUACAACAGGGGCGCACUCAUCAGUAGCAUCAGAUCUUCUUUUUGCCCUCUCCCUGAAAUAUCAUCUAUGACACACCUGGUACAUGCUGAGGGCACAAUUAUGUGUAGAACACUAAUAUCAGAUUUUGGUAGCGUUUAUGAGUUUUCAUCAUUUAAAGUUUAGACUGGAGUAGUAGGGAAGGACAAUAGAUUGCAUAUACAUUUUUAAAUGAUAUAUUGGAAUUAAUUUAAAUAAUUAGAUAUCAUGUUUGACUGAAACAACUUUUUUCGUAAAUCAUUAUUAACAUUUAUUUAUUCAACCUACCAAUUAAUGAUAAUAAUACAUUGAUUCAUAAUAAUAUACAAGAUGCUAAGAAAUAUG